UACCCCCAACAAAUUGCAAGAUCUCAAACCCAACUUCUGCAAUCUCUUUCUUUUUUCUACCGGAUGACUUCUGGUUUUCCAACACACUGACAGAAUUUCCUAGACCAUCAAUGGUGGCCUCGACAACAUUUUUGGAAUUCAAUGCCGAUGCCUGUAUUGAUUCAAUGACACUGAUAUAAUUUUCCAAAUCAACUAAGUCAAUCUCUUUAGUAUCAAUAGCUCUUUGUAUAGCAUUCUUCAAAUCAUUAAAUUUAGCACAAAACCCGUCAAAAACCCCAACCAAACUCCUCAAUCUCUCAGCAUACAACCUAAAGUUUUCAUCUUUUGCCCUCUUCUUACUUGCAUUCACACUAAAUUCAUUGAAACUCCCACCACGGAAAAACCCAACUGAAAACCCAAUAGCAAAAAUCAAUACAGAAGCAGGAAAUACGAUAAUUGACGAAACCCUAACCCUAGAAAUGGCAAAAGCGCAGAAAAUCCCCAAUAUAAACAUAAAAACAUGUUUUUUCUCAUCAAUUCCUCCAGAAACCAGAAAAUCACGAAGCAGAGUUGACUCACCCGAGCUGACCANNNNNNCCGAGCUGACCAAAUCACCGCCGAGUCUCAGAUCGUCCCAACCACCAUAAUUGACUGAAUUAGAGGUGACAGGCGAAUUGAUGGAGGAGCAGUUGGUGGGUUUGGGAAUGAAGAGAGAUUUUUCCUGGGAAACAUGAAUGGAUUUUUUACUUCCCCGUGAAAGUGAUGGAAAGUGAAAAAUAAAAUUUGAAGGGGAUGAUUGGAAAUUUGUGUAGCUAAUUGGAUCUGCCAAAAUUAGAGUUUUCAUUGGAGAUUUAUUCGGUGAUGGAGCGGAGUUUCCUUUCUGCGUUACAUUAGCAGCAGAGAGCAUUCCCC
This 891-nucleotide unclassified non-coding RNA is filed under the name Hevea brasiliensis (rubber tree). The record is from RNAcentral. Lineage: Eukaryota; Viridiplantae; Streptophyta; Magnoliopsida; Malpighiales; Euphorbiaceae.